AGAGUUUGAUCAUGGCUCAGAUUGAACGCUGGCGGCAGGCCUAACACAUGCAAGUCGAACGGUAACAGGAAGAAGCUUGCUUCUUUGCUGACGAGUGGCGGACGGGUGAGUAAUGUCUGGGAAACUGCCUGAUGGAGGGGGAUAACUACUGGAAACGGUAGCUAAUACCGCAUAACGUCGCAAGACCAAAGAGGGGGACCUUCGGGCCUCUUGCCAUCGGAUGUGCCCAGAUGGGAUUAGCUUGUUGGUGGGGUAACGGCUCACCAAGGCGACGAUCCCUAGCUGGUCUGAGAGGAUGACCAGCCACACUGGAACUGAGACACGGUCCAGACUCCUACGGGAGGCAGCAGUGGGGAAUAUUGCACAAUGGGCGCAAGCCUGAUGCAGCCAUGCCGCGUGUAUGAAGAAGGCCUUCGGGUUGUAAAGUACUUUCAGCGGGGAGGAAGGGAGUAAAGUUAAUACCUUUGCUCAUUGACGUUACCCGCAGAAGAAGCACCGGCUAACUCCGUGCCAGCAGCCGCGGUAAUACGGAGGGUGCAAGCGUUAAUCGGAAUUACUGGGCGUAAAGCGCACGCAGGCGGUUUGUUAAGUCAGAUGUGAAAUCCCCGGGCUCAACCUGGGAACUGCAUCUGAUACUGGCAAGCUUGAGUCUCGUAGAGGGGGGUAGAAUUCCAGGUGUAGCGGUGAAAUGCGUAGAGAUCUGGAGGAAUACCGGUGGCGAAGGCGGCCCCCUGGACGAAGACUGACGCUCAGGUGCGAAAGCGUGGGGAGCAAACAGGAUUAGAUACCCUGGUAGUCCACGCCGUAAACGAUGUCGACUUGGAGGUUGUGCCCUUGAGGCGUGGCUUCCGGAGCUAACGCGUUAAGUCGACCGCCUGGGGAGUACGGCCGCAAGGUUUAAAACUCAAAUGAAUUGACGGGGGCCCGCACAAGCGGUGGAGCAUGUGGUUUAAUUCGAUGCAACGCGAAGAACCUUACCUGGUCUUGACAUCCACAGAACUUUCCAGAGAUGGAUUGGUGCCUUCGGGAACUGUGAGACAGGUGCUGCAUGGCUGUCGUCAGCUCGUGUUGUGAAAUGUUGGGUUAAGUCCCGCAACGAGCGCAACCCUUAUCCUUUGUUGCCAGCGGUCCGGCCGGGAACUCAAAGGAGACUGCCAGUGAUAAACUGGAGGAAGGUGGGGAUGACGUCAAGUCAUCAUGGCCCUUACGACCAGGGCUACACACGUGCUACAAUGGCGCAUACAAAGAGAAGCGACCUCGCGAGAGCAAGCGGACCUCAUAAAGUGCGUCGUAGUCCGGAUUGGAGUCUGCAACUCGACUCCAUGAAGUCGGAAUCGCUAGUAAUCGUGGAUCAGAAUGCCACGGUGAAUACGUUCCCGGGCCUUGUACACACCGCCCGUCACACCAUGGGAGUGGGUUGCAAAAGAAGUAGGUAGCUUAACCUUCGGGAGGGCGCUUACCACUUUGUGAUUCAUGACUGGGGUGAAGUCGUAACAAGGUAACCGUAGGGGAACCUGCGGUUGGAUCACCU
Molecule: ribosomal RNA, 1531 nt
Filed under: Escherichia coli
Lineage: Bacteria; Pseudomonadati; Pseudomonadota; Gammaproteobacteria; Enterobacterales; Enterobacteriaceae
Description: bacterial SSU rRNA
Rfam family: Bacterial small subunit ribosomal RNA
Source: RNAcentral